RNAcentral lists this ribosomal RNA (468 nucleotides) under uncultured bacterium. RNAcentral describes it as "partial 16S ribosomal RNA". It matches the Rfam family "Bacterial small subunit ribosomal RNA", at positions 28 to 507 of the family's 1533-position model. The record is from RNAcentral.
GACGAACGCUGGCGGCGUGCUUAACACAUGCAAGUCGAACGGAAAGGCCCUGCUUUUGUGGUGUGCUCGAGUGGCGAACGGGUGAGUAACACGUGAGUAACCUGCCCUUGACUUUGGUAUAACUUCAGGAAACUGGGUCUAAUACCGGAUAGGAGCUCCUGCUGCAUGGUGGGGGUUGGAAAGUUUCGGCGGUUGGGGAUGGACUCGCGGCUUGUCAGCUUGUUGGUGGGGUAGUGGCUUACCAAGGCUUUGACGGGUAGCCGGCCUGAGAGGGUGACCGGCCACAUUGGGACUGAGAUACGGCCAAGACCCCUCCGGGAGGCAGAAGUGGGGAAUAUUGAACAAUGGGCGGAAGCCUGAUGCAGCACGGCCGCGUGCGGGAUGACGGCCUUCGGGUUGUAACCCGCUUUCGCCUGUGACGAAGCGUGAGUGACGGUAAUGGGUAAAGAAGCACCGGCUAACUACGUG